Molecule: transfer RNA, 68 nt
Filed under: Rhopalomyia pomum
Lineage: Eukaryota; Metazoa; Arthropoda; Insecta; Diptera; Cecidomyiidae
Description: tRNA-Leu
Source: RNAcentral
AUUUUUAUGUCAGAAUAAAUUGAAAUGAAUUUAAAAUUCAUAUAUAUAUAUAUAUAUAUAUAUAAAUU